This is a long non-coding RNA of Oncorhynchus kisutch (coho salmon), 886 nucleotides long. RefSeq lists it as uncharacterized. The record is from RefSeq and is a predicted model, not a curated record. The transcript has 4 exons. Lineage: Eukaryota; Metazoa; Chordata; Actinopteri; Salmoniformes; Salmonidae.
CUUCCGGUCACAUUACAUCAAGCAAGAGGAACAUGGAGCGUACGUCUGACGCAUGGCUCAAUCUGUGCAGACUAAACUCGAUUUUCUUUUUUUACCCAUAUUGUUUGAUGGACGCCAGAAGAUUAUACAUUGAAAACUGUAGUGAGUGAACGUCAACUAAAUCCCUAUUAUGUAACUUGGCAAGGAACUCAGUAAAAAGGCCAGUAGCUAAUGGCUAACUAGCUACUUACGACUCGUUCAAGGAAAGUCGGAGGCCAUUACGAGCACCACAAUCAUGUGCGGAGACUGCGCACGUGGUCCGCAGCAUGGCCCUCGAGUCCACGUUGGGACCAUGGAACCCCUUGUGUUCUCUUGAGGGAAACGUAGAGUUAAUGUGGCUUGUCUUGGAGCAGGUGACGUGUAAGUGGCGCCUUUCUACGAAGGAACCCUGCAUCAUUCAGGUUUCCCUCAAAGACAUGAAGAUGCAGUCAUGGGAGUCCAAUGUGGUGCAAAAUGAAUACCAUGGAGCGACUUCAACUAAUACAACUCUGUUUAUUGAACAUUAAGUUAUCCAAUAAAGUCAUAUUUGUAGUGGACUGUUAUGUUUUAAUUUAUAUCGUAACUGUAUGCACUGUCUUUGAACCAGCAGAGCCCUCUCCAUGGCUCUGUAGGCCAAGCUACAGCUGCAAGAACAAAUCAAAGGCUUGUUAUAACUGGGGUUACUUGGCAUUUCAUCCCAAGUUUCUCUUUUAAAUGCAACUCACAUCUACUCACUAAUAUUUGUCAUGUGUGUAUUCUGAGCUUUAAUCUGAAUACUUGGUGAUUUUGAAGUACCAUUCCCUAAUUUUAGAGCUACAAGGAAUAAACCAGUAUUGUUAUAGAAAGAUUAAAUCAACUUUUUUUUUUA